Molecule: small nucleolar RNA, 138 nt
Organism: Tachyglossus aculeatus (Australian echidna)
Lineage: Eukaryota; Metazoa; Chordata; Mammalia; Monotremata; Tachyglossidae
Source: RefSeq, a predicted model, not a curated record
CCCCUCUCAGGAUCGCACCUGGAGUGUUUCCAGUACUCUACCAGCCUCGGUUAUGUGAGAGAGAGUCAAUCAGAGGCCUUCCCAUUCCAUUCCUGGCUUGGCCAGUGGCUAGCGAGUGGAAGCCAAUCUGCUACAAGU